CAGUCGCCGCGGUAAGACAGAGGAUGCAAGCGUUAUCCGGAAUUAUUGGGCGUAAAGCGCGCGCAGGUGGUUUAAUAAGUCUGAUGUGAAAGCCCCCGGCUCAACCGGGGAGGGUCAUUGGAGACUGGGAAACUUGAGUGCAGAAGAGGAGAGUGGAAUUCCACGUGUAGCGGUGAAAUGCGUAGAGAUGUGGAGGAACACCAGUGGCGAAGGCGACUCUCUGGUCUGUAACUGACGCUGAGGAGCGAAAGCGUGGGGAGCGAACAGGAUUAGAUACCCCAGUAGUCCCUGUCUCUUAUAA
RNAcentral lists this ribosomal RNA (301 nucleotides) under uncultured bacterium. RNAcentral describes it as "partial 16S ribosomal RNA". It matches the Rfam family "Bacterial small subunit ribosomal RNA", at positions 509 to 809 of the family's 1533-position model. The record is from RNAcentral.